AAGUCGUAACAAGAAUCCCUGGUAAAUCAUUGUCGACCAGAUUUUGAGUCAGGGACCUCUGCCGAUGAGAGUUACGCUCGUAGCGAUGCAAGCGACCUGGCACCCUCAAGCAAUCAGAGUUCUGAAAGCGUCUUUGAUUGUGUAAGGGUGGCGCAAACACGAUCGUUGGAGGCCGACACGGCCGACGACCGGGUCCCUGGGUCACCAUGCCCCUUAAUCACCACACUGUAACGCCGACAGGUCGCGAUAAUUCCGCUGACCACAAAAAACCGAACAACUGUUAACAAUGGAUAUCUUGGUUCUC
Molecule: unclassified non-coding RNA, 304 nt
Filed under: fungal sp.
Lineage: Eukaryota; Fungi
Description: partial internal transcribed spacer region
Source: RNAcentral